Molecule: non-coding RNA, 1956 nt
Organism: Taeniopygia guttata (zebra finch)
Lineage: Eukaryota; Metazoa; Chordata; Aves; Passeriformes; Estrildidae
Source: RefSeq, a predicted model, not a curated record
UAAAAUGUGGGUAAAGUCCAUAUAUGGAAUGGCAGCAUUCGAAAGGUUGAAGUUGUAUAUCUGUGGUGCAGAGGUUUUAACCAUUAGAUUUGAAUGUCAGUUGACUUAUUUGAUCGCAGUUGACAUUAAUGUGUAACAAAUUGAGAUUAUGGGAUGCAUCAUAUGCAUCUUAUGGGUUUUGUCAUUUAAAGUUUGGGGAGCAGGAUAUAAAAACUUGUUCCUUAAUUUUUGAAAUCUGAGGUUCCAAAAGAGAGAUGACAAUGUGAACAUCUUCCAGGCAAACUUUAUAAGUCCUGCUAAAAAAAGACCUCACUGCUUAAUUGGGCAGAAAGAUGGGGUGGCUCAGUGGCCUUUCCUGGUGCCGGGGGGCAGUGAGAGAGCAGGAUUGUGGCUGCAGUGGGAACCUGGUCAGAAGACACACCUUAAAAAACCAGAGGCAAUGUCUGCAGCUGUUAGCAACCUUAACACUGAAAAUUGCAAAUAUCCAUGUUCUUGUAUGUCUAUGGAAUUUAUUUGUUCUAGCUUUUGUUCUAGUUUUUUUGUGUUUGGUUUUUUUUUUUUCCCACUAAAAGGUUGUGUUUGUUCCCACCUGCAGUGCUGUGUGCCAGAUUUGUGGCACUCUGGUAGCCUGCUGUACACAUCUGCCUGGCAAAGUUAUCGGGUGGUGAGAAAUCUGAGGAUUCUGAGUGUUUUUUCAUGGUGAAACUUUGAAAGUCAAGCAAAUACUUUUAUCUUGACCUUUCUGCAAGGCUGCCCCAUAUUCACUAGUUGUCAGCACAUGUUUGUCUGGAGUCAUUCGUCACUGCCAUCCGUCACUCCUCUGCCAUUCCCAUCAGUCCCAUUAUCUGGGAUCAGGAGAGAGCUGAGGAUGUAGCCUGAAGGAUCAUUAAACCUCAGCUCCCAGGUACUGCAGGUAGUCCAGGUGGUCUGUUGUUAUUUAUAAUAAAGAAACAACACAGCAGAACUGCCUGGCAGUGGCCCAUGAGGCCCAGGGAAAGGACGGGCUGAGGGAUGUCAUCACUGAAGGACAGCUAAAAGUGGACUUUCUUCCUCCCACACUGUAAGCAGAGAGGAUUUAUUGAACAUCUGUUCAGUACAUGGCUGGGAAGAUUGAUUAAUUUAAUUGCUCACACUUUGCUUAAGUAACAUUUGAAUACUUAAUGUCAGGUUUGAAGGAUAUUACAACAUUUACUCGCGCACCUUUUUAAAGAGGCAGAGUAUCUCAUUACUUUUUGUUUCUUUCAAGGAAGUUGAAGUGCAUCCUGAAAUUUACUUUUUCCAGAGGUCUGGAAAAGCUUCUUCCUUCAUAAAUUUGACCAGUGGAGCAGCAUUCAUUAGAAUCUGAAUGAGAAGAGAGAAGGGGAUAUAUGGCAAUUUAUGAAACUAUGAACAACUUAUGUAAAAAUGGAAAAACAGCUCUUCACUUGUUCAAGAAAACCAGCACUGUUAUACAGAAGACAAUGAAUGAAUCCUUUUUUCUGCAUCCUCGUAAAAUAUGUGAGCUUUGCUGACCUCAAAUCACUCUUAGUUUAGGAGCUGUGAAAAACUAUUCCUAAACUUCCCACUGAAGCUGUACCAACUUGCAGAAUGAUACAGAGCUCUUUUGGCUACUGAUGGGGCAUACUGCUGAUUCCAUGUCCAUAAAAUCUGGAGAGAAUUCAGGGCACACAGACUGGUUUCCCUUCAGCCAAGAUGGAAAAGCCUGAAUUCAUUUCUCCAGAUUGGAAGAUUAAGAGGUGCUUAGCUGCCCAGAUUGCAUCCCCAAUUCUAUGCACAAAAUUGGCCCUUACUAUAUUUAUAUAAUUUUGAAACAGAGAGAAAUUAAUGCAGUCUCUAAAAUAUUGUCUGUUAGGGAUACAAUAGAAGAGGAGUUCUAUACAAUUUGGGAAAUUAACACAUUUGGAAAUGAGUGUGACAUGCUAAUCAUAAAACAAAUUCAGGAAAAGUUGUAUUCCU